RNAcentral lists this ribosomal RNA (889 nucleotides) under Salmonella enterica subsp. enterica serovar Vitkin. Its description in RNAcentral is "partial 23S ribosomal RNA". It matches the Rfam family "Bacterial large subunit ribosomal RNA", at positions 1 to 929 of the family's 2925-position model. The record is from RNAcentral. Lineage: Bacteria; Pseudomonadati; Pseudomonadota; Gammaproteobacteria; Enterobacterales; Enterobacteriaceae.
GUUAUAGGGUCAAGCGAACAAGUGCAUGUGGUGGAUGCCUUGGCGAUCACAGGCGAUGAAGGACGCGGUAGCCUGCGAAAAGCUUCGGGGAGCUGGCAAACGAGCUUUGAUCCGGAGAUGUCCGAAUGGGGAAACCCGGCCCGAAUGGGUCAUCCCACACUGAAUCCAUAGGUGUGGGAAGCGAACGCGGCGAACUGAAACAUCUAAGUAGCUGCAGGAACAGAAAUCAACCGAGAUUCCCAAAGUAGUGGCGAACGAAAUGGGAUGAGCCUUGUACUUUUUAGCAGUGUGGUUAGCAAAACGGGAUGGAAAGCCCGGCCAUAGCAGGUGAUAGCCCUGUAUGCGAAAACCGCGUUGUGGAACUAGGGGUACGACAAGUAGGGCGGGACACGUGAAAUCCUGUCUGAAGAUGGGGGGACCAUCCUCCAAGGCUAAAUACUCGUGAUCGACCGAUAGUGAACCAGUACCGUGAGGGAAAGGCGAAAAGAACCCCGGGAGGGGAGUGAAAUAGAUCCUGAAACCGCAUGCAUACAAACAGUCGGAGCCUGGAAACGGGUGACGGCGUACCUUUUGUAUAAUGGGUCAGCGACUUACAUUCAGUGGCAAGCUUAACCGGUUAGGGAAGGCGUAGCGAAAGCGAGUCCGAAUAGGGCGAUUGAGUCGCUGGGUGUAGACCCGAAACCAGACGAUCUAUCCAUGGCCAGGUUGAAGGUGCGGUAACACGUACUGGAGGACCGAACCCACUAACGUUGAAAAGUUAGGGGAUGAGCUGUGGAUAGGGGUGAAAGGCUAAACAAGUCUGGAAAUAGCUGGUUCUCUCCGAAAACUAUUUAGGUAGUGCCUCGUGUCUCACCUUCGGGGGUAGAGCACUGUCAUGGUUGGGGGGUCU